This 563-nucleotide ribosomal RNA is filed under the name uncultured Streptococcus sp. RNAcentral's name for it is "bacterial SSU rRNA". It matches the Rfam family "Bacterial small subunit ribosomal RNA", at positions 349 to 902 of the family's 1533-position model. Lineage: Bacteria; Bacillati; Bacillota; Bacilli; Lactobacillales; Streptococcaceae. The record is from RNAcentral.
CAGCAGUAGGGAAUCUUCGGCAAUGGACGGAAGUCUGACCGAGCAACGCCGCGUGAGUGAAGAAGGUUUUCGGAUCGUAAAGCUCUGUUGUAAGAGAAGAACGAGUGUGAGAGUGGAAAGUUCACACUGUGACGGUAUCUUACCAGAAAGGGACGGCUAACUACGUGCCAGCAGCCGCGGUAAUACGUAGGUCCCGAGCGUUGUCCGGAUUUAUUGGGCGUAAAGCGAGCGCAGGCGGUUAGAUAAGUCUGAAGUUAAAGGCUGUGGCUUAACCAUAGUAGGCUUUGGAAACUGUUUAACUUGAGUGCAAGAGGGGAGAGUGGAAUUCCAUGUGUAGCGGUGAAAUGCGUAGAUAUAUGGAGGAACACCGGUGGCGAAAGCGGCUCUCUGGCUUGUAACUGACGCUGAGGCUCGAAAGCGUGGGGAGCAAACAGGAUUAGAUACCCUGGUAGUCCACGCCGUAAACGAUGAGUGCUAGGUGUUAGACCCUUUCCGGGGUNUUAGUGCCGCAGCUAACGCAUUAAGCACUCCGCCUGGGGAGUACGACCGCAAGGUUGAAACUC